RNAcentral lists this transfer RNA (47 nucleotides) under Prunus serrulata. Its description in RNAcentral is "tRNA-Gly". Lineage: Eukaryota; Viridiplantae; Streptophyta; Magnoliopsida; Rosales; Rosaceae. RNAcentral also lists the same sequence under 2 other names. The record is from RNAcentral.
CCCUAGCCUUCCAAGCUAACGAUGCGGGUUCGAUUCCCGCUACCCGC